RNAcentral lists this ribosomal RNA (558 nucleotides) under Triticum aestivum (bread wheat). Its description in RNAcentral is "partial small subunit ribosomal RNA". The record is from RNAcentral. Lineage: Eukaryota; Viridiplantae; Streptophyta; Magnoliopsida; Poales; Poaceae.
AUGUACCUGCCUGUGACGAGCGACGCGAUCCGAUCCGCCGCCGCCUUCAAGCGAAGCGUCGCCGCCGCGCGUCGCGAUCUGGCGUCCCCGCUGGUGCUGGACACCCGCGACGCCGAGGGGCGGUACACCUUGCUGGAGUCCGCGCUGACCCACAUCGACCACGCAUCCGGCUCCCUCUCCGCUUUCAUCAUCAACACGGUGGUGGCCGAGCGCCUGACGCUCCACGGCUGCGGCGCCGUCCCAUCGGAGCCGGUGGCCCGCAUCGGCGACCUCCGCGACGGCCACGGGCGCCACGACGAGUGGCUUGCUCUCGUCAGGCUCCAGGCCGCCAGGGAGCACGCCGAGGACGCGCUCCGCCGAGUGGAGGGGGCCUACACCCUCCUGGGCUCCGUCCGGUUCAUGCUUCACAGCCAGAACCCCGACGCUCCAGGGCGCCGGCAAGCCAUGGAAGGGCAGCUCCACGCCCUCGAUCUCCAGCCCGUCGUGGUCGGCGUGGCGAGCAUGUCCGCGCUGGCCUCCUUGGCCACCGAGCCCCCCAUCCGCUACCGCAUCCAGUGA